Molecule: ribosomal RNA, 386 nt
Filed under: uncultured bacterium
Lineage: Bacteria
Description: bacterial SSU rRNA
Rfam family: Bacterial small subunit ribosomal RNA
Source: RNAcentral
GACGAACGCUGGCGGCGUGCUUAACACAUGCAAGUCGAGCGGUAAGGCCCUUUCGGGGGUACACGAGCGGCGAACGGGUGAGUAACACGUGGGUGACCUGCCCUUAGCUCUGGGAUAAGCCUGGGAAACUGGGUCUAAUACCGGAUAUGACUCCAUGACGCAUGUUGUGGGGUGGAAAGCCUUGUGCGGCUAGGGAUGGGCCCGCGGCCUAUCAGCUUGUUGGUGGGGUGAUGGCCUACCAAGGCGACGACGGGUAGCCGGCCUGAGAGGGCGACCGGCCACACUGGGACUGAGACACGGCCCAGACUCCUACGGGAGGCAGCAGUGGGGAAUCUUGCGCAAUGGGCGAAAGCCUGACGCAGCGACGCCGCGUGGGGAUGACGCCU